RNAcentral lists this ribosomal RNA (500 nucleotides) under uncultured bacterium. Its description in RNAcentral is "partial 16S ribosomal RNA". It matches the Rfam family "Bacterial small subunit ribosomal RNA", at positions 29 to 523 of the family's 1533-position model. The record is from RNAcentral.
AUUGAACGCUGGCGGCAUGCCUUACACAUGCAAGUCGAACGGCAGCGCGGGCUUCGGCCUGGCGGCGAGUGGCGGACGGGUGAGUAAUGCAUCGGAACGUGCCCAGGAGUGGGGGAUAACGUAGCGACAGUUACGCUAAUACCGCAUACGUACUGAUGUAGAAAGUGGGGGAUCGAGAGACCUCGCGCUCAUGGAGCGGCCGAUGACGGAUUAGCUAGUUGGCGGGGUAAAAGCACACCAAGGCGACGAUCCGUAGCUGGUCUGAGAGGACGACCAGCCACACUGGGACUGAGACACAGCCCAGACUCCUACGGGAGGCAGCAGUGGGGAAUCUUGGACAAUGGGGGAAACCCUGAUCCAGCAAUGCCGCGUGUGGGAUGAAGGCCCUCGGGUUGUAAACCACUUUUGGCAGGAAAGAAAUCGCCUGUGCUAAUACCACGGGCGGAUGACGGUACCUGCAGAAUAAGCACCGGCUAACUACGUGCCAGCCGCCGCAGUAA